Non-coding RNA from Canis lupus familiaris (dog), 94 nucleotides. The record is from Rfam. NCBI's taxonomy places the organism in Eukaryota, Metazoa, Chordata, Mammalia, Carnivora, Canidae.
GGGGGGAGGCCGGAUCCUGGGCUGUGUCCCGGCGCCCUGUGCUCCGGAGCCUGCGCUGUUGGAUUCGCGUUCCCGGGCCGCCGCGCAGCCCCCU